Molecule: long non-coding RNA, 971 nt
Filed under: Bos indicus x Bos taurus (hybrid cattle)
Lineage: Eukaryota; Metazoa; Chordata; Mammalia; Artiodactyla; Bovidae
Description: lncRNA (ENSBIXG00005025059.1)
Source: RNAcentral
UUCUGUUUGCAGUGUGACCGCAUGGCCCAUCAUUAAGAGGCAGAAUCUUUGUUCUCCUUCCCUGAACCUGGCUGGGGUUUGCAACUGUUUCAGCAAGCAGAGUGUGGGUGAGUGGUUCUCUGAGCUUCUAAGACUGGGUCCUAAAGGUUGAUACAGGUUCAGAUUGGUUCUUCCUCUUUUAGGACAUUAGCUGUGGGGAAGCCCAGCCCAGGGGAAGAGGCUGUAGGUGUUUUGGCCAAUAGCCCUGGCAUCAGUCGCCAGACAUCCGAGUGAGGAAGGCUUUCCUCUCCAGCUCCAGCCCCGCUCUUACUAUAACUGUGGGACAGAACCACUGAGCUGAGCCUGCCAUCCUCCCAAGCCAUAAGAGGAACAAUUUGGGUUGGAAGGAGGCUGCCCAGUGUGUGGAGUCAAUUUGGGAAGGCAGUGUUGGCACCAUCUUCAGAAGGUCUAGGUGCCUGGAGCUGCUGGCUUUUCCCUGCCAGGCAGGAGACCCCGAAGCUGCUCUGUCCUCCCUCCCCUCUGUAAGCUGGGGAGGGCAUCUUUCUGAUCCUUGGAUAAAAUCCCUCCUAUCAAGAUCAUCCAUCAGUAUCUUCCUGAACAUUCCCAAAGGCCCUCUGAGAGAAUGGUAUGAGAUUCUUUUUCAUCUGAAGUCCACAGCCCUGGGGUCCUUGAAAGUGAACCUGAUCCUACUCGAACCAGAUUUUCACUAUAAACAAAAAGGCUCUGUGAUUCCUCCAAGGCACAGAAGGACAAGAGAUUCCAAUCAGAUGACCUCUAGCUUGAUUUCAAAUACAACCAUUCUACCAGGAAGCUAUUCUCUCAAAUCUGUGAAGAAGAUUCUGAAAGCUGAAAGGUGUUAGAUAUUGAAAGACAAUUCCCAAAAUAGUGAAAGAAAGAUUUCAUUAUUUUGUUACUUUUUUUUUUUUUUUUCCUUUUGGUAAUAAAGAAUUUGGUGGAGUUAGUUUCUGGCA